GGGAGGAGGGGAAGAGGAGGUGCAAGCGCUAACACUCUUCGCAACUGGGCUGAAGCUCGACUGCGAGCACGAGUUCUGGCGGCCGCCCUGCCGGCCGGAGGGCGUGCGGGAGCCCCACGGGGAGCGGAGGGCAGGCGCCCGUUCCGUGCCGCCGCCUCGCCGCGGCCCGGGGACCCGAGGGGUCAACGAAGGGCCGGGCCUGGCACCGACGCAGGCUCGCGGGGCGGUGGACGGCGGCGUGCCUCGAACAGGAAGUGCGCGGCGUGCGGCGCGCCCUCCCGCUCCGCCCGCCGACCCCCGCCGCCCCCUGCGGCCGCGGCGGCGCGGGACUCGCUCCGAGAUGAUUCCUGACUCAUGUCGUCCCCCAGUGUCUGUUUAUGCCUCACCCCCUGAAACACGCACACGCGCCCUGUGCCCCGCAGACCCGGCCGCGGCGGAAGCGCGGGUUUCUGUGGGAUGCGCGCUGACCCGCACGUGCUUCUCGGAAAACCGCGGCGCGGGGCCCUUCCCCCCGGCGUGCGGACCUGAAUGCGCAAUGAGAGCGGGCGGAGUGCGGGUUUUCACCCCCACCCCGCCGUACCCCACCCCACCCGGCUUUGCUUAGGUUCACCAGGGGAUCGGCGGUAAGUGUCGGGCGCGGAGUCAGCAACCCAGCGCCGCCGUGAACGCGGGGUUCCUAAGACUGCGGAAGAAAAGGUGGAGGAGAGGGCGGUAAACCCCGCGCGAGUCCCCCAAGUGCUGCAACGGUCUCAGCCACCGCGUUGCCCGUCUGGCACCGCCCGUAGCCAAGGGCCAGUGGGGCGUUCUCCCAGGUGGCGGUGCGCCCCCCACCCGCCGAGGUGGGCCCCAGGAUGGCGCGACCCUCACCCCCCAGCCCCCUGCCUGCCUGGCUGGGAGUAAGGUGAGUGCUCGGUCGGGAGUCGCCUCCGCUCCUGCUCUAGGUUCUGAGGAUAGAGUGGCCCCCAAAGUCACUCGAACAACCUGAAUGCUGACGUCAGCGCUGCUGCUCCCCGGAAUCGGUGGGGCGGGGAGGCCACCCGAGAAAGAACGGGACACAGGUCGCUUUGGGAACGCCCUGGGGUCUGUGAGGAGGUGGCCUUCACUCUUGUCCAGGUGCGGAGAUAUGCACAGUUCUCUCCUGGGGAGAAGGGUGAGCCCGCUUUCAGGGCCGCCCCUUAGGCGGUGCCCCCCACCCAGCCAGGAGGAACCCUGGUUCAGCCAUCUUUCCUGUUUCCCUCUCCCGUCUGAGUUCCUGCGGUCUGGGUGGUGCCGCGGUUUAGAGGGGUGGGUUUCUGGUGGGUUUGCCUUCCUCCUCCUCCCGGCUCUCCAGCCCAGAAUGGAGCCAGACUGAAGACCCUCCUGGUCCCGGAGUAGUGCUUUCUGGACAGAAGGUCGCAGUGCUCUGGAGGGGACCGCACCUGGCUUCAAAAACCCAGUGGCCAUCCCUGCCCCACAGAUUGCUCUUCACCCAUAACACCAGUUGACCAUGAGGCAGUCGCGAUCAUGGAAUCUAAGAAGUACUUUGGAUUAAGUUCUGAGCUUUGAACGUGCCAGAAGCAGACAGAGGAACUCUGGGAAAUUUGGAACACGUACCACUGUUAUCUGACGAUGGCUCAUGACUGACUUCCUGACCUCUCACCCGUCUAUUUCAGACGUGAUUAAAUAUUGCACAUUAAUUGUAGUAAUUUCCCAACGAAUAAAAUUACUUUGGUUGUUAGACUGGGCCCAAAGUUCAUAUAUUGCCGUUCAAACUGAACGUGAACUUGUACGGGAGGGCGCUUACCAGCACCGUCGUUACCAUCCCUCUGUGUGACUUGCAGCUGAUGUCCAGACCGGGCCUUGAGAAUGCCAGUUACAGAGACUUCCCUGACGGUCCAGUGAUUAAGACUCCGCGCUUCCACUGCAGGGGGCAUGGGUUCGAUCCCUGGUCAGGGAACUAAGAUCCCGCAUGCUGUGUGGUGUGGCCAAAGGAAAAAAAAGUGCUGAAAGGUAUACUUAAAAAAAAAAAGAAUGCCAGUUACAGCUUUUCAACAAGAUUCCAGAAAAAAUAUAUUUACAGUUCCUAGGGAUUGGCCACGUUUGGGGAGCAGGGCACCAGGUCAUGUCCUGGAUUUGUAGGUGUGUACAGACUUGGACCUGCUGACCUCUGAGCCCCAUUGAACAUGCACGGUUGUCAUCCCGGCUCUCAGAGUGUCCCUCCCACGAGGGCCCAGCCACACCCAGAGUUAAACCCAUGCUCGACCUUGCUAGCCUCUAUUCCCGUCCUUGUACCUUAGCACUUUAUACUGUAAUUGAUAAGUGCCCAUUUGGUGCACAGACAGAGCCCACAAGAGGCUCCGUUCAAGGGCUCUGGACGGACAGGCAGUAGGCUCUCAAGGACAUAGUGGUUUUUGACAACCCUCCCUGUGCCAUGUGGGUCAGAACAGCACUUUGUAAAAUGUUCCUAAAUAUAACUCCUAAGAAUUGCAUGAGCUCUUGGGAGAGGAUGGGGAGAGAGAGAUUUUCUGACUAAAACGCUGUGCGUCAGCUCAUUUUAGUUCAUUGCAACACACACUCCCAAGAGCAUCACAGUGCCGGAGGCCCGGCUUGUUUUUCCUCUCCCCGCUCAUUGUGGCUCUUUACCCUCUAGGUCAAAAAAUAAGGUGUAAUUACAGUGUUCAUUGUUCUUUGACCAGCCUGAGAGAACAUUUUCCUGCCAUUGUAGCGUAUUCACCCAUGGUCCAGGACUUCCCAGCAUCUGGUGGAGGUGGGUGCACCAGCUUCUCCCAAAGCCCUGGCAUGCAGUGCAGGCUUGGGGCAGUGCGGGCUCACAGCCAAGACUCCAGGGCACACACGCUGAGGCCGACGCAUUGUCUGUGACUCUCGUGGUUAGAAGGCCAGGAGAGCAGCUCUUUGUAGCCGAGCUUCAAGGAGACCCUACAUCUCCAUAGGACAGGAUCGCUGGUUCCAAAUCUUUUGUUUAUCGUUGCAAGUCUAAGAACGGAUACAGCUAGAGCAUUGUGUUGUUUAAUCACUCCUUCACCAGGGACUGAUUUUUCAGCCUGUCUGGAGACUUGCUCUUUCUAGUGGGGGUGCUCUUUGGGGGGUCAUUGCCUCUGCUCUCAGAUGUUUGUUGUCCUGCCUGCUCUGUGUUGCCAGGAACUGCAGUCCCAGGAUCUUUGGCCAACUGGUGUCUGGCCAGGUUUGGCCAGUGGGAGACAGUCGGGGAGAUGGGGGUCUGGAGGAGUGGAAGAGGAAGGACCCCAGGGAUUUCGUCUUCCCUUGUUUCUCCUGGGGCAGCAUCUUGCAGUGUUUCUUUCCCCUGUGGCUCCCACUCCACCAGACAGACCCUCCCUCCGCGGGCCCAGCUUCUGCCAGGCCGCCCCGACUAGGGCUCUGACCCUGAACAUUUGAGCAGAAAUCUGGUGGCUCUGAGGGGCUGAACGAGGUGCAGAGCUGGGGAGGAGGCUGCUAGGAAGGGUCUGGAGGGCAGUGUGGCCAGAGGUGGCAAGAGGACAGGUGGACUAGUGUUUGGGGACUUUUAUCUGAGUGAGAUGGGAUAAUGUCAACUAGAAGAAGGACAAGAUUGAGUUUGAGUUUUUAAGGGUCAGCCCGGCCGUCACGUGUACAGGUUGUAGAGUGAAAGUAGGGAGCCGGGCAGCAUAGUGCAGAGCUAUCGCUGCCAUUCAAGCCAGAGACGACUGUGGCUCCGACCACGGCGGGAGCGGCAGGGUGGUGAGUAGUUGCUUCCAAAUCUAUUUUGAAGACAGAAUCCCCAGAAUUGCGGUAGAUUGGAUGUGGGGGUCUGAGAGAAAAGAGUGCCCUGUGUGGCUCUGAGGUUUUGGGCCUGAGCAAGUGGAACGAUCCCGUCUCCCGGGAGGGGCUGGGAGGUAGAGAGUCUGCUUUUGGCUGUAGUGAAUCUGAGAUGCCUGUAGGACACCCAGACACCUGAGGGAAAAUCCCAGAGCGACAGGGGAGACAUCUGGCUGGAGAUAUGCAUUUGGAAGUCAUCGACCAAAGGCUGGCAUUUCAAGCCAUGAAACGCGAAGAGAGCCAGGUACGAGUGUAGACGGCAAAGAGAAGGUGUCAGGACUGCACCAGUGACCCCACCCCGGGUAGAAGUUGGGGAGGUAAGGAGGAGUGAGCAAAGGGUCCAUGAAGGAGCAGCCGUGAAUUAGGAAGACAGCCAGGAGAGGUGGAUCCAGAGACCACCAGACGAGUGUCUGGGGAGGGAAGGAGUCGUAGGUGCUCUGUGAGUGACAAGAGUAUUCAGGAUGACUGCAGGUGCACACGGCUAUAUUUAAAGUGGAUAACCAACAAGGACCUACUGUCUAGCGCCGGGGACCCUGCCCAAUAUUCUGUAAUAACCUA
Long non-coding RNA from Aethalodelphis obliquidens (Pacific white-sided dolphin), 4350 nucleotides. RefSeq lists it as uncharacterized. The record is from RefSeq and is a predicted model, not a curated record. The transcript has 3 exons. Lineage: Eukaryota; Metazoa; Chordata; Mammalia; Artiodactyla; Delphinidae.